This 253-nucleotide ribosomal RNA is filed under the name uncultured prokaryote. RNAcentral describes it as "partial 16S ribosomal RNA". It matches the Rfam family "Bacterial small subunit ribosomal RNA", at positions 524 to 776 of the family's 1533-position model. The record is from RNAcentral.
UACAGAGGUCCCGAGCGUUGUUCGGAUUCACUGGGCGUAAAGGGUGCGUAGGUGGUGGGGUAAGUCUCGUGUGAAAGCUCGCAGCUUAACUGCGAAAAGUCACGGGAUACUAUUCUGCUGGAGGCUUGGAGGGGGGACUGGAAUACUUGGUGUAGCAGUGAAAUGCGUAGAGAUCGUAAGGAAGACCAGUGGCGAAGGCGGGUCUCUGGACAGUUCCUGACACUGAGGCACGAAGGCCAGGGGAGCAAACGGG